RNAcentral lists this ribosomal RNA (253 nucleotides) under uncultured bacterium. RNAcentral describes it as "partial 16S ribosomal RNA". It matches the Rfam family "Bacterial small subunit ribosomal RNA", at positions 524 to 776 of the family's 1533-position model. The record is from RNAcentral.
GACGAACCGUGCGAACGUUGUUCGGAAUCACUGGGCUUAAAGGGCGCGUAGGCGGGCCACCAAGUCUGGGGUGAAAGCCCCCGGCUCAACCGGGGAAUUGCCUGAGAUACUGGUGGUCUGGAGGGAGGUAGGGGCAGCGGGAACUUCCGGUGGAGCGGUGAAAUGCGUUGAGAUCCACAGGAACUCCGGUGGCGAAGGCGGCACGCUGGACCCCCACUGACGCUGAGGCGCGAAAGCCAGGGGAGCGAACGGG